UACGUAGGUGGCAAGCGUUGUCCGGAAUUAUUGGGCGUAAAGCGCGCGCAGGCGGUCCCUUAAGUCUGAUGUGAAAGCCCACGGCUCAACCGUGGAGGGUCAUUGGAAACUGGGGGACUUGAGUACAGAAGAGGAAAGCGGAAUUCCACGUGUAGCGGUGAAAUGCGUAGAGAUGUGGAGGAACACCAGUGGCGAAGGCGGCCAACUGGACCAUUACUGACGCUGAGGCGCGAAAGCGUGGGGAGCAAACAGG
RNAcentral lists this ribosomal RNA (253 nucleotides) under uncultured bacterium. Its description in RNAcentral is "partial 16S ribosomal RNA". It matches the Rfam family "Bacterial small subunit ribosomal RNA", at positions 524 to 776 of the family's 1533-position model. The record is from RNAcentral.